AUGGAUGCGCUGCACAACGUGUCAUCACGUGCGAUGGAUAAUGCGUUCACUCCUCCCCAAUGGCAGUUCCAGUUCUCAACUUUCAAACAAGCAGUUCAAGUUCCACGUCCACAACGCCACGGACGCGCUAUAAAAGGCAACACGGCGAGGGCGCCAUUCCUGCGAGCUCAGUCUUACCAAGCAGCAAGAGAGAGUGCAGUAGCUGGUCUCUCUAACGACAAGCUUGUGCGAGCGGCAACGAUGGCGGCUUCGGGAAGAGGCAAUGCAGCGGGCAGUAAGGCGCUUGUCGCCGGCGCCGCGUUCCUGUGCAUGGCCGCGGUGCUCCUGGCGGCCACCCCUGCUGCCGAGGCGGGGGCGACGACGUACCUUGUCGGCGACGCCGCCGGGUGGACGCGCAACGUCGACUACGGCGGGUGGCUGGCCGGCAAGACCUUCCGCGCCGGCGACGUGCUCGUGUUCAAGUACAACAGCACGUUCCACGACGUGGCGUGGGUGAGCAAGGGUGGGUACAAGAAGUGCACCGUGUCGCCCAAGGGGUUCGCCCCGGUGUACCGCAACGGCUACGACGCGGUGACGCUGCCCAGGGGCACGCACUACUUCAUCUGCGGCGUGCCGGGCCACUGCAGCGCCGGCAUGAAGCUCGCCGUCACCGUGUACUGA
Molecule: ribosomal RNA, 660 nt
Filed under: Triticum aestivum (bread wheat)
Lineage: Eukaryota; Viridiplantae; Streptophyta; Magnoliopsida; Poales; Poaceae
Description: partial small subunit ribosomal RNA
Source: RNAcentral